CAGCACAAACUCAUUGAUUUUAUAUUCUACUACCAUUUGGAUUCUGAGAUCAGGGAAGAACUCACCUUCUAUGACCAAGAAUAUUACCAUUCAGAUCAAUAUAGAAAAGGAUUAUUCUGGAUGACAGUACAUUAAGCAGUAGAAAGAGCACCAAAGGCCAUUAUCAUGAAGCUGGGAAAAAGUUCUGAGCCUGCUAAAUAAGGCCACAGGCCAGAAACAGCACCUCUUUCACUGGGAGAAAAUAGAAGGUCAGAAGGAGCCAAGGCCAGAGGGGAAAAUCAUCUGUCCCUCAGACUCUGCUUCUCAAUCUGCCCUUGCUUCGGGAUCAAGUAAAAGAUGAAGCCAUCCAUCAUCUUUCCCCUAAAAACAUGCCACAUGACAAGAUGUUUAAUUGCUUUUUGUUUUCCAGGCAAGGCUCCUCUUUUCUUCUGGCGGCUUUUCUUGUGGUCACUUUGGCACUCGGGAGCACCUGUGCCAGCCACUGUCCUUGUCUGGUCAGACCUCCGUGUGCCCAGGACGUUGCCAGCCCUGCCUCCUUCUGGAAGUGCUCUCCUCAGCUACCCUGCACUCCUCCUCCCUAAGAUAUUCUCCCUCCCUGGCGAGGGCUCCCUCCCAGCUUCCCUGUGUUGUGUCCUCCCCCGUGCUCCCUCAGGGUGGCCAGUCGCCAAGGUUCCACUCUCAGCCUUCUUCUAUUCCUUCCUAAAUCCAGCCUGUGCUUGUCAACGUUUCCCCGCAGCCCUGGAGAAGGAAGCCUUCUAAAAUGUUCAUCUGACCCCAUCUUCCCCUUGUUUAAAACUCUUCAACAACUCCCCAAAGCUAUCAGGAUAACACUGAGUCACGUUUCCUUUGUUUCCCAUUUCUCCAGUGUGUAAACUAAUCAUUGUACUCACACAACUUAGCCUUGCUUCUUAUUUCCUAGAGGGUAAAACCUAAACUAGUUUUUGGUAUGGAGGAGUCUCCAGGAUCUGAACUCCUGCUUAUUUCUCUAACCACACCUCCAGCUAUACUCCACCUUUACCUCCUCUUCCAGCUAUAUGUAAAUAUUCCAAGUUCCCUAGACUCAGCAUGAAACAGAAAUUGCUCCCUAAAUCACCAUAGCCACCCUAAACUCCCACCGUCAGCCUUUAGAGUGGUCCCAGAGUUCUUCACUUCUCCACCCUUCCAAGGAGCUUUAAUUUCCCCUCUUUUAUUGGCUGUUCUUUCUCAAGAGGAACACAGUCAGUAUCCAGAACAAUCCCACAAACAAGGGGUUAAAUAAAUAUGUGUUGGGCCAAUCUCCAUGAAUGGGUAAAUCUCUUACUAUGACUCCUCUUCAUUCUUUGGGUGAGGCCCACUUUCUAGGGACUCCCCCGUAGUACUGCUCACAAUGGGGCUUCUCCCUCUUUCCAGUGGGACUAGACAGAGAGAACCUUGUUUCUUUAUGGUUCUGGUCUAGAGAGCUGCAGAUGUGCCCAGAGAGCCUUGGGGUGCUGCUGCGGGACAGCAUCGGGGACAGUGAUGACAGGCAGCAUGCUGGGGGCCACCUGCCGUGACGUGGAGACAUCAAGCACACGUUCAGGUUCUCCAGGGGUACUGGGGUUACAGCAUCUUGGGGGACUCCCAAAAACACAAGCCAGGCCAGAGAAACCAUAGAGAAGACCUUUAGGUUUUUAUCCACACAUAAACUACUCAACUUGAAAUUAUCCAAAUAAAUAGAUGGAUUCGAGAAAUGUAUAAGUCAACCCAAGUUAUGAUCACCUGACAAGAGAAUGUCUCAUAUUUAAAAACAGCAGUUUGCAGAGGACUUUUCCGUGCUCAUCAACAUAAUAGGGCGAUUUGGUUUGGCUCUGUGUCCCCACCCAAAUCUCAUCUGGAAUUGUAAUCCCCAUAACCCCUACGUGUCGAGGGAGGGAACUCGUGGGUGGUGAUGGGAUCAUGGGGGCAGUUUGCCCCAUGCUAUUCUCGUGAUAGUGAGUGAGUUCUCAUGAGAUCUAAUGGUUUUGUGAGUGUUUGACAGUUCUUCCUUCACAUGCUUGCUCUUUCUCACCUGCCGCCAUGUAAGACACGCCUGCUUCCUUUUCUGCCAUGAUUGUAAGUUUCCUGAGACCUACCCAGCCAUACAGAACUGUAAGUCAAUU
This 2117-nucleotide long non-coding RNA is filed under the name Homo sapiens (human). Its description in RNAcentral is "HSALNT0114548". Lineage: Eukaryota; Metazoa; Chordata; Mammalia; Primates; Hominidae. The record is from RNAcentral.